UUUUAUUUUAACUGUUGUAAGAUCAAUGUCUUAAGUUACUUUUACAGUAUUCUUCCUAUAUAGCUAAUAGAAAAAAGGCUGAGGCCCAUCUAACUGGUGGGGGUCCACCUCCACCUCCUCUCACCCCAUCUGAGGAGUUGGCUCUUUCACUUAAUAAAGGUCGCCCUGUGGUCGAUGGUAUUCCAGAGGGCACUUCGUCAGACUUUGCUACCUCCCACAACAACUCAAGUGACUUGGUACAAUUUGCUGAUGGACGCAUUGUAUUAUUGGAUCCUCCUGAAACCACACAGUCUGUCACAAUUGAUGAUGAUGAAGAGACCACAUCUGCUGUGACUGAAUUAGAAAGUGCUGGGAGACCCACGGAGGUAUGAUGCAUAUACUGGACACUGCAUAACUUUUUAGAUGGAGUGAAAAAUGUGUCAUUUGUCCUGUGACAGAAUCUAGCUGGUCUAGCAGAUGAGGGUCCAUCUACCUCUACAUAUAAUCUUAGCAGUGUACGAACUUGUCCCUGG
Cyprinus carpio carpio is the source of this 512-nucleotide long non-coding RNA. The record is from Ensembl. NCBI's taxonomy places the organism in Eukaryota, Metazoa, Chordata, Actinopteri, Cypriniformes, Cyprinidae.